RNAcentral lists this ribosomal RNA (301 nucleotides) under uncultured bacterium. RNAcentral's name for it is "partial 16S ribosomal RNA". It matches the Rfam family "Bacterial small subunit ribosomal RNA", at positions 509 to 809 of the family's 1533-position model. The record is from RNAcentral.
CAGUCGCCGCGGGAAUACGGAGGGUGCAAGCGUUAUCCGGAUUUAUUGGGCGUAAAGAGCUCGUAGGCGGUUUGUCGCGUCUGCUGUGAAAACUGGAGGCUCAACCUCCAGCCUGCAGUGGGUACGGGCAGACUAGAGUGCGGUAGGGGAGAUUGGAAUUCCUGGUGUAGCGGUGGAAUGCGCAGAUAUCAGGAGGAACACCGAUGGCGAAGGCAGAUCUCUGGGCCGUAACUGACGCUGAGGAGCGAAAGCGUGGGGAGCGAACAGGAUUAGAUACCCCGGUAGUCCCUGUCUCUUAUAU